AUAGGAGGGGUGCUCGAAAGAGAGCCGUAACACAGGUGCUGCAUGGCUGUCGUCAGCUCGUGUCGUGAGAUGUUGGGUUAAGUCCCGCAACGAGCGCAACCCUUGUCAUUAGUUGCUACAUUCAGUUGGGCACUCUAAUGAGACUGCCGGUGACAAGCCGGAGGAAGGUGGGGAUGACGUCAAGUCCUCAUGGCCCUUAUAGGUGGGGCUACACACGUCAUACAAUGGCUGGUACAAAGGGUUGCCAACCCGCGAGGGGGAGCCAAUCCCAUAAAGCCAGUCGUAGUCCGGAUCGUAGUCUGCAACUCGACUACGUGAAGUCGGAAUCGCUAGUAAUCGUGGAUCAGAAUGUCACGGUGAAUACGUUCCCGGGUCUU
RNAcentral lists this ribosomal RNA (377 nucleotides) under uncultured Rhodoferax sp. RNAcentral's name for it is "bacterial SSU rRNA". It matches the Rfam family "Bacterial small subunit ribosomal RNA", at positions 1004 to 1382 of the family's 1533-position model. Lineage: Bacteria; Pseudomonadati; Pseudomonadota; Betaproteobacteria; Burkholderiales; Comamonadaceae. The record is from RNAcentral.